ACUCAAAUGAAUUGACGGGGGCCCGCACAAGCGGUGGAGCAUGUGGUUUAAUUCGACGCUACGCGAAGAACCUUACCUGGGCUCGAACGACUGGUGGUAGUUCUGAUGAAAGUUGGAGCGACCCGCAAGGGAGCCAGCCGAGGUGCUGCAUGGUUGUCGUCAGCUCGUGUCGUGAGAUGUUGGGUUAAGUCCCGCAACGAGCGCAACCCCUAUCCUGUGUUGCUACCCGCAAGGGAGGACUCUCAGGAGACUGCCGCGGAUAACGUGGAGGAAGGUGGGGCCGACGUCAAAUCAUCAUGGCCUUUAUGUCCAGGGCCACACACGUGCUACAAUGGCGCGUACAACGGGAUGCAAUAGCGUAAGCUGGAGCCAAUCCUUUAAAGCGCGCCUCAGUUCAGAUUGUGGGCUGCAAUUCGCCCACAUGAAGGCGGAAUCGCUAGUAAUCGCAGAUCAGCAGGCUGCGGUGAAUACGUUCCCGGGCCUUGCACACACCGCCCGU
Molecule: ribosomal RNA, 499 nt
Filed under: uncultured bacterium
Lineage: Bacteria
Description: partial 16S ribosomal RNA
Rfam family: Bacterial small subunit ribosomal RNA
Source: RNAcentral